UNCCACCUAGAUGCGGAGACCGGUAGUG
This 28-nucleotide non-coding RNA is filed under the name Homo sapiens (human). The record is from RNAcentral. Lineage: Eukaryota; Metazoa; Chordata; Mammalia; Primates; Hominidae.